RNAcentral lists this ribosomal RNA (449 nucleotides) under uncultured bacterium. RNAcentral's name for it is "partial 16S ribosomal RNA". It matches the Rfam family "Bacterial small subunit ribosomal RNA", at positions 29 to 523 of the family's 1533-position model. The record is from RNAcentral.
AACGAACGCUGGCGGCAUGCCUAACACAUGCAAGUCGAACGAGACCUUCGGGUCUAGUGGCGCACGGGUGCGUAACGCGUGGGAAUCUACCCUUGGGUUCGGAAUAACAGUUAGAAAUGACUGCUAAUACCGGAUGAUGACGUAAGUCCAAAGAUUUAUCGCCCAAGGAUGAGCCCGCGUAAGAUUAGCUUGUUGGUGGGGUAAUGGCCUACCAAGGCGACGAUCUUUAGCUGGUCUGAGAGGACGAUCAGCCACACUGGGACUGAGACACGGCCCAGACUCCUACGGGAGGAAGCAGUGGGGAAUAUUGGACAAUGGGCGAAAGCCUGAUCCAGCAAUGCCGCGUGAGUGUUGAAGGCCUUAGGGUUGUAAAGCUCUGUUACCAGGGAUGAUAAUGACAGUACCUGGAGAAUAAGCUCCGGCUAACUCCGUGCCAGCCGCCGCGGUAA